RNAcentral lists this non-coding RNA (45 nucleotides) under Schistosoma curassoni. The record is from RNAcentral. Lineage: Eukaryota; Metazoa; Platyhelminthes; Trematoda; Strigeidida; Schistosomatidae.
AUCCAACUGAAGAGUCCAAAGUAGGACGAAACGCACGUCCUAUAU